Molecule: ribosomal RNA, 450 nt
Filed under: uncultured bacterium
Lineage: Bacteria
Description: bacterial SSU rRNA
Rfam family: Bacterial small subunit ribosomal RNA
Source: RNAcentral
GAUGAACGCUGGCGGCGUGCUUAACACAUGCAAGUCGAGCGAAGCGCUUAAGUUUGAUUCUUCGGAUGAAGACUUUUGUGACUGAGCGGCGGACGGGUGAGUAACGCGUGGGUAACCUGCCUCAUACAGGGGGAUAACAGUUAGAAAUGGCUGCUAAUACCGCAUAAGACCACAGUACUGCAUGGUACAGUGGUAAAAACUCCGGUGGUAUGAGAUGGACCCGCGUCUGAUUAGGUAGUUGGUGAGGUAACGGCCCACCAAGCCGACGAUCAGUAGCCGACCUGAGAGGGUGACCGGCCACAUUGGGACUGAGACACGGCCCAGACUCCUACGGGAGGCAGCAGUGGGGAAUAUUGCACAAUGGGCGAAAGCCUGAUGCAGCGACGCCGCGUGAAGGAUGAAGUAUUUCGGUAUGUAAACUUCUAUCAGCAGGGAAGAAAAUGACGGUAC